ACUUUCAGAGGCCCUCUGUAGCAGGUUACUAGGUUGUUUCCUAUUUUCUUCUUCUUCUGAUGUCCAUCCUGGGCUGUAGUGCGCUAUGCCAAUCGGGUGUCCGCACUAAGUUCAGCAUCAAUAUGGUGACCUCCCGGGAGCAGGGGACCACCAGGUUGCCUAAGGAAGGGUGAACCGGCCCAGGUCGGAAACGGAGGAGGUCAAAACUCCCAUGCUGAUCAGUAGCUGGAUCUUAAGGAAGCACUAUUCCUUGUUGUCUAAGAAAACACAAAAUUGAU
This 278-nucleotide signal recognition particle RNA is filed under the name Meriones unguiculatus (Mongolian gerbil). RNAcentral describes it as "Metazoan signal recognition particle RNA (ENSMUGG00000003221.1)". The stretch from base 101 to 231 matches the Rfam family "Metazoan signal recognition particle RNA", at positions 110 to 240 of the family's 299-position model. Lineage: Eukaryota; Metazoa; Chordata; Mammalia; Rodentia; Muridae. The record is from RNAcentral.